AAUUACCGAUACUCCCAGUUUUAAAAAGGGGGUGAAGAGGCUUAGUUGUGAGUGAUGCCAGCCCUGUCGGUAGAGUAUGGGAUCCUAAGAUAUCUCUAGAGCUGGAAGGGACUUCAGACACCAGUUGGUUCAACUCAUUUUCAUUUUACAGAGGGGGAGACUGAAGGCCAAGCAUGGGAAUGAAUGGAAGAGGGCAGAGGGACACAAAAUCUAGGGAGAGCCCCAUCAUCCUGCCCUCAAUGGUCCCUCUGCAGGAGGCCUUCCUCUACACUCCGCCAGGCCGCUGCCCCGUGCUGCCAGGGACCCAGAGCCAGCCCCUGCCCCAGGUACCCUGAGCCCACACUCUUCAGGUAGGAAGAGACUUGGAGAAUUCAGAAGACUUGGGCUCAGACCCUUACUAGUUAUAUAGUGAAGGGCCUUGAGAUCAUGUCACAUGAGGACCAGUUAAAAAAACCCUUCUGAUUGUGGAAGGCCUCAGGUAAUGUCACCUGAAGGACCAGAAGAUGUUUAACUUGGAGAGGGAAGGUCUCAGGUGGCUGGCUGGGUAGGUAGGGGUUGUCUUGGCUUUUCUGAAAGGGUUCUCUUUCUGAAGAGGGAUUGAAUUUGGUCUUUUUGGCCUCAAAGGGUGUUAGGGUAAAAAAUGAAAGUGGCCAAGAGCCAAAUUAUGUUUGGGGUCCGGAAAAAUUUCCUAAAAUUUGGGAUGCCCCCACCCCCACCCCCCAGAGGUACUGAGCUCCUCAUCAACAUCAGCCCUCCAGCAGAGGCUGGCUGACCAGGGAUUGGGGAUGUGAGUUGGUUUGGAUAACGAACAUUGUUGAUUUUGCCACAAAUAUAUUUAUUAAAUUCUCCAUCAGAGACGUAGCCUCUGACGUUUCUAGUAACUUUCCAGAAGUUUCCAAGAGCUCCAUAGUCCGACGUGAGCACGUUCUAUCCUUAGUGACGUACGCCCCGUCCCUUGGUAACAGGAAAGGACACAUUCCAGAGGGGCUUGAGUAGGUUACCAGUCAGCCUCAGCGCUCAGAUCUCUACCACGGAGCUGCUGGCUGCCCCCCCCCAUAGCCCCCUUGGGGGACUUUUUGCCCUUCUCGGCUAUCACCUAAUUGGAGGGGGGGGAUCUGAGAGGAGGGCGGGGGGCAGCUGGCCCUCGAGCUCAGCCCCAUCCGCGAGCUCAGAAAAUCUAGGUGUUGGGGGCGGCCCGGGCAGGGAUUGAGGCAGUCGAGAAGCGGGUAGCUUCUCGCGCCUCCCCACGCCCAGGCCUCCUCCCCCCACCUUUCACACGCUUGGGACUGGAGCCCCGAGCCUGCGCAGUGCGAGCUCAGCGAGCGCCAGU
This 1330-nucleotide long non-coding RNA is filed under the name Monodelphis domestica (gray short-tailed opossum). Its description in RNAcentral is "lncRNA (ENSMODG00000040666.1)". Lineage: Eukaryota; Metazoa; Chordata; Mammalia; Didelphimorphia; Didelphidae. The record is from RNAcentral.